Molecule: ribosomal RNA, 233 nt
Filed under: Codringtonia codringtonii
Lineage: Eukaryota; Metazoa; Mollusca; Gastropoda; Stylommatophora; Helicidae
Description: partial large subunit ribosomal RNA
Source: RNAcentral
AGACGAGAAGACCCUANAAACUUAUAGUUUAUUUUGCUGGGGCGGCAGAAUUGCAUAUAACCAAUUUUUUAUUUACGUGAAGCGAUGCAGAAAGAAAAAGUUACUCUAGGGAUAACAGCAUAAUUUUUAUAGUUUGUGACCUCGAUGUUGGACUAGGGAUAAUAUCCCUUAGAAGGGGAUAAUUAUGGCUCUGUUCGAGCUUCUUACCCUACGUGAUCUGAGUUCAAACCGGA